AGUGAACGCUGACGGCGUGCCUAACACAUGCAAGUCGCACGAUGAUGGAUGAGCUUGCUCAUCCUGAUUAGUGGCGCACGGGUGAGUAUACCAUAGAUAAUGUACCCCUUAGUUCGGGAUAGCCACUGGAAACGGUGAUUAAUACCGGAUACUCCUUCUUGCCAUAAGGUAAGUCGGGAAAGUUUUUUCGCUAAGGGAUCAGUCUAUGUCCUAUCAGGUAGUUGGUGAAGUAACGGCUCACCAAGCCUAUGACGGGUAUCUGGUUUGAGAAGAUGAUCAGGCAGACUGGGAGUGAGACACGGUCCAGACUGCUACGGAGGGCAGCGAUGAGGAAUAUUGCACAAUGGAGGAAAGUCUGAUGCAGCAACGCCGCGUGGAGGAUGACGAAUUGCGGUGUGUAAACUCCUUUUAAGAGGGAAGAUUAUGACGGUACGUCUUGAAUAAGCACCGGCUAACUGCGUGCCAGCAGCCGCAGUAA
RNAcentral lists this ribosomal RNA (478 nucleotides) under uncultured bacterium. RNAcentral's name for it is "partial 16S ribosomal RNA". It matches the Rfam family "Bacterial small subunit ribosomal RNA", at positions 29 to 523 of the family's 1533-position model. The record is from RNAcentral.